AUUGAACGCUAGCGGGAUGCCUUACACAUGCAAGUCGAACGGAGUGGCGAACGGGUGAGGAAUGUAUCGGAACGUGCCCAGUAGUGGGGGAUAACUACGCGAAAGCGUAGCUAAAACCGCAUACUAUUGGAGCGGCCGAUAUUGGAUUAGCUAGUUGGUGGGGUAAAGGCUCACAAAGGCGACGAUCCGGAGCUGGUUUGAGAGGACGACCAGCCACACUGGGACUGAGACACGGCCCAGACUCCUACGUGAGGCAGCAGUGGGGAAUAUUGGACAAUGGGGGAAACCCUGAUCCAGCCAUCCCGCGUGAGCGAAGAAGGCCUUCGGGUUGUAAAGCACUUUUGGUAGGGAAGCGGUACCUACAGAAUAAGCACCGGCUAACUACGUGCCAGCAGCCGCGGUAAUUC
RNAcentral lists this ribosomal RNA (407 nucleotides) under uncultured bacterium. RNAcentral's name for it is "partial 16S ribosomal RNA". It matches the Rfam family "Bacterial small subunit ribosomal RNA", at positions 30 to 526 of the family's 1533-position model. The record is from RNAcentral.